This 1627-nucleotide long non-coding RNA is filed under the name Mus musculus (house mouse). RNAcentral describes it as "long non-coding RNA chr11:31635710-31637337". Lineage: Eukaryota; Metazoa; Chordata; Mammalia; Rodentia; Muridae. The record is from RNAcentral.
GGACAAAGAGAGAGAGAGGCUUGGGCUGACCUCAGGCUGGACCAUGUUUAUUCUCACACCUGCAUAGUAUGGGUGGCCAAAUGAGAUGACCUGAAACAACUUCCAUAGUCUGCAAGGGAAGCUGGGAAAUGUAGUCUUUCAACGGGAAACUCAGUCUUCUUAUAGGUUCAAAGCAAGCCAACAAGCACUAAGCCCUAAGCCUUAAGGGCUUGCUUUUGACAGAUGCUCCCUCCUAAGUAUCAGGAAGGCCAGGUUUUAAUUCAGUCCUCAGACACCUUGUGCUCUGGUGGGAACUUGCCCCUGUGCCAAUGAGAUCCAGCCAAUAGCAGCCUUUGUCUCUUUCAGGUCCAAGAUUUGCCUCACACUGUGGAGGACCUCUGUGUAAUCUGUGACACCCCAGUUUUGUCCUCACAUCCUGUGAGGAGCAGCUAUCCCUAGCCAUUUGGCUAUACCUCAUCAUGCAACAGUGCCUGGGAAUGGCCCUGAGCCUCUGGGGAUCUAGGAUCAGGCCCGUAACAAUCGUAGUGCGUUUAUACUUGGGGAUAAUGUGUGCUGAUUGUUCUUAGAGCAUUUUCCUCUGCUAAUCCUGGCGAUUCAGGGCCAGACUCCACUAUGGAUCUAGUCGUGGGUCACCUGCCCCACACCAGGACCAACCUCCCUUGCCCCUCCCCUGCCUUCUGGAAAUACCCCUGACUCCCCCAGAUGUCCUAUCCCCUUUCGCCCCCACUCCUCAACCCCAAGACUCUUCUAUGGUCCUGUGCCCUUCUCUACUUCCCUCCUUAGGACUUGUCUGCCUCUCCUUCUGUGACAUCUGUCACAUGCCCUGCCUUCUGCUGUUGGAUCACUGUGGGCUCAGGCCUUUCUUAGAAAACAAGACAAGACUGCUUCUAGAUCAAAGACUGGACAAGCACUAGCUCCUGGGGAAAGUGGAGUGGAAAAACCCAGCACCCCCAGAGGGAGACAGACCUGGGGCUGGGGAUUGGCUCUUACCACAUGGCUGGACCACCUGAAUUCCGAGGACUAUUUCCUAGGCUGAGUGAGGCAGCACAUCCUUGUAAAUUCAGUGCUUUGGAGGAUCAGGUCAUCCUCAGCUACACAGUUAGUUCAAGACCAGUCUGGGUGACUUGAAAACAAGAAAAAAUGGAACCACUUGCUCACACAGCCUCUGUAGGCUUUUAGAGAGGGCCAAAGUGAGCUGGCUCCAGACGGCUCCUGAGCCAGAGACCCAAGGCCCCUUUUCCCCCAACCGCUUUACUUCUGAUGCUUAGGUUUUCUUGAUUGCUCUCUAUUUUACUAUUAACUGAAUUCACAAGAAGCCUUACUUACUGCGUACUGUUCCAAAUGCCUCCCAGAGCAAUUCUUGACAAGAGUGCUUUCAGAAAGAGGCAAGUAGGGCAGAUUUUGGGAUGGUAGAUUUGCGUAUAAAUGCAGAUCAGCCAUUUUCAAAGCCUCAUAUCACACACACACACACACGCACAUACACACACUCACACCCUGCCCCUGGCCAGGUCAACCACUACCUGUGCACUUGUUGAAAACACACAUUCUCAUAACCCCCGUGCUCCACAGGCUGAAACAGAAGGAUGGAGAAUUUGAACACAGCAUAGCAAGUCUGAGACCUGGUCUC